Molecule: ribosomal RNA, 313 nt
Filed under: uncultured bacterium
Lineage: Bacteria
Description: bacterial SSU rRNA
Rfam family: Bacterial small subunit ribosomal RNA
Source: RNAcentral
AACGAACGCUGGCGGCGCGUUUUAAGCAUGCAAGUCGAGCGGUAAGCUAACUUCGGUUAGCCUAGAGCGGCGGACGGGUGAGUAACACGUGGAUAAUCUACCUCUUUGUUUGGGAUAGCUUGUGGAAACAUAAGGUAAUACCGGAUGAGAUUCAAGAGUCAAAAGACACUUGAAGGAAAGGCGCUUUCGGGCGUCGCAAAGAGAUGAGUCCGCGUCCCAUUAGCUAGACGGCAGGGUAAAAGCCUACCGUGGCAAUGAUGGGUAGCCGGCCUGAGAGGGUGAUCGGCCACACUGGAACUGAGAUACGGUCCAG